GAUGGCUUUGGCUAUCACUCUGGGUAUGGACCUGCGGUGCAUUAGCUAGUUGGUAAGGUAACGGCUUACCAAGGCGAUGAUGCAUAGCCGAGUUGAGAGACUGAUCGGCCACAAUGGUAACUGAGACACGGAUCCAUACUCCUACGGGUAGGCAGCAGUAGGG
RNAcentral lists this ribosomal RNA (163 nucleotides) under Lactobacillus sp. 326. RNAcentral's name for it is "partial 16S ribosomal RNA". It matches the Rfam family "Bacterial small subunit ribosomal RNA", at positions 202 to 359 of the family's 1533-position model. Lineage: Bacteria; Bacillati; Bacillota; Bacilli; Lactobacillales; Lactobacillaceae. The record is from RNAcentral.